UCCUGGGUAGCUCAGAUGGUAGAGCGUCCCGCUGAAGACGGGAAGGUCGUCUGCUCGAAACAGACCCCAGGAGCCA
RNAcentral lists this transfer RNA (76 nucleotides) under bacterium. Its description in RNAcentral is "tRNA-Phe". It matches the Rfam family "tRNA". From Rfam's summary of the family: Transfer RNA (tRNA) molecules are approximately 80 nucleotides in length. Their secondary structure includes four short double-helical elements and three loops (D, anti-codon, and T loops). The record is from RNAcentral.